CAGAGACAUCGCUGCUGAGAUUUCCCCUGGAGAGAACCCCUAGCUGUCAAUCAAGCAGGCGCGGUGAACGGAUUAUGACGCUCAAGCGUUCCAAAUGACGCAACAAUACAGCUCCAGACCAGAGGAAGUUAAUGCCGAAGAUAUCAUUCGGUUCCACACUAAAACUGAGGUUUGACACGUGUGAUUUGAGGCUAGAGCUUGAGGACUCAACUCUGAAGACUGUUUCUGAAUUCACUGACCUGAAAUAAAACUUGUAGACCUUUCCUGCAGUCUCUGAGGAGAUGGACAGCUCUUCUUCUUCUGGACGAUCUCCGUCUCCUACUGGGACUGUCUUCUUACCCCCUCCUAUCAUGUGGAACAGUCUCUACAAGCAGGCAGAGAUGGAGCUUCACUUCCCGAGAGAAGAGAAGAAGACCUAUACAGAGAAGGAAGCCCACAUGCUUGAGUUGAUGGGGAAGGAUCGAACGAUCCGAAACCAGAAGAAGGAGAUGGACAGACUUCAAGUCUGCCUCUGGGAGGAGGAAAAGAAGAAGAGGAAUGGUGGAACGGAGAAGGACAAGAUCAUUGAACAAUUACAGUCUGAGACAGACCAUCUCCGAGCCCUUUUAAAAGAUGAAAGGAGGAGAAGAAGAGUAGAAAGGG
Molecule: long non-coding RNA, 642 nt
Organism: Oncorhynchus tshawytscha (Chinook salmon)
Lineage: Eukaryota; Metazoa; Chordata; Actinopteri; Salmoniformes; Salmonidae
Source: Ensembl